RNAcentral lists this long non-coding RNA (301 nucleotides) under Felis catus (domestic cat). RNAcentral's name for it is "lncRNA (ENSFCAG00000041295.2)". Lineage: Eukaryota; Metazoa; Chordata; Mammalia; Carnivora; Felidae. The record is from RNAcentral.
CUUCAUUUUUCCUAUCACCUCGUGAUCAAUGGAAAGAAUUCCCUAGACUCGAACGAAGGAUGAGAGUGAUACAAAGGUCGCUUCACUUGCAUUUCUCAAUGUCUACUAUGUGUUGAACUGUAAAGAAGAACAAGCAAGGGCCAUUGAAUGUAGAAGGGGACACAGCUGAAUAAACAGGGAAUUUGAAAUUGUUACAAGUUUCGAAAAGAGUAAGUAUACAGGAAAAGUAAUACUAUAAUUCAUCUCAUGUCCACCCCCGUCCUCUGUGGAGCUAUAAACCAAUGUUAACAGAUUGGUGUGU